CUUCAUAUGAAACUGCUCCCCAGCUUGGAUCAGUCUGUCCAAAGACAUCACUUGGGUUCUUACUUGGGAAACGGCUGACAGGAGAAAAUGCUUCAGUACUGUGCUCUGCGGGUGCUUCGAACUGCGCUCAUCUUGACAGCAAGAAAUCUGCAGUUCUGGAAUAAUGUCCCUGAAUCGCUAUUGUACAGGAAAUAAUUACAGAUGUAUGCAACCAUAUAAUGGAGACAUGCACAGAUCAGCAUAUAUUAAUGCAGACCAGGCCUUUACUCUGACACAGGAAGAAAGCUCAUCAGUUCCUCCUUCCUCAGCAUCUUGUUUCUGUGUGGCCAAUGAAAGAGUACAAAUAGGCAAGAAUUGGUGAUAUUUUCCAGAUGUAAACCCAUGAUCCCCAGGGAUCUGUCAUCAUGUUCAGUGGAAAUGGAGCCGGUCAAUACAGGCUCUUGACUGAAGGAAUGGCAGGCUCAGAGUCUUCUCUCCAGGGAAUUUUUUUGUGAGUCUGGCUGCUGAUUGAAAGUCCUCCAGAUUGCUCCUGUGUUUCCUUGACAAGGAAAGAAGACUGUUGGUGAUUUUUCCCACUGGUAGUGAAAGGCAAAAAUUCUGCUGUUCAUGUUAAUGUGGCAUCACAACUUAUUCUGCAAGUAUUGUCACAGAAAGUAUUGAUACUGGUUUUGGUAGGCUCAAUAAAAAUAAAGCGAAUUCUGAACAUAUAGAUCUGUAGGAAUGCUUCUCCCGUUAGGGCUAUGGCAGGGAUCUUAUACACUGCACUGAUUGCCCUUCAGGCAGAAACAUCCCUUUCUUCACCUAGCUCAUGAAUCUCACCACUCUCACUUGCUUCUUCUGCGGGGGAUGAAACUUAUUUUAUUAUCCUGGAUGCAGAUAUCCUGUUUCAGCAUUUUUGUAUUUUACAACUUGUAGGUGCCGAGCCCUUCCCGGUGAAGCGUCACACUGAGGGUGCCGAUCUUGCGUACCAUCACCUCCACGGUCCUGCCGAGACAGGAACGAUGUCUCUCUGUACUCUGGAGUCAGUGCCGAAAGUCACACUAUUGCAGUUGCUAGAAGAGGAAGAGGAUUUCCUUUGGCUAUUUUUGAAGAAAGGAAUAACAUCUGAACCAUGGCUAUUCACUGAUCAGGCUCUGAUCUCCAAUAGUAGUUUGAUGUUCAGAUCUUCAAAAUAGUCUUUACUCAGUAACUCUAGUCGUAUAGUUUGCGCUGCUUUGCUUCUCAGUUUUGUGUAUCUUCCCAGUGAGUUCCUCACUAGAUUUUGAGUCUGUUUGUGAUAGAAGCCAGGAAAAUUUGGCACAAUAAGCUACCUAUUUUUAAUUUUUCUGAAGACAACUAGCCCCAUUCCAUAUGUACAGCCUGCCAACAUCUCUCAUUAUUCUCUUUGUUAAACAAUCUUGAAUGGCAUCUUUCUCAUUCCAAGCAAGCUGUGAAGCAGCCUCUUCCCUGGAUAAUGCUUCUCUGGUCUGGCUCAACUUCUUGAAGUUAUUUUCAUAUCCUGUGCAAAGUGCCACUCUACUUACAGGGGCAGAUUCCAAGAAAUGGAGAGGUUUAAGCUUACAUAUUUUAGUGGCCAAAUAGUAUGGUUGGCCCACUCAUUCUACUGGUACACAGUGACCUGUUAAGCCGUGGUAAGUUAGUUGUGUUUCUGACCUCUCAGUCCUGUCCUUCAACUGCCUUCAAAGGUGCAGCCUUCCUUCUUUGUUCAACCUUGCCACUUGACUGUUUCAUCAACGUAUAAAUGAACUUUUUCUGAGGACUUUCGCUCAGUUCUCUGCACAAACAACUGGCAUCAUGAAAGCUCCAGGCAAAGAGCUACACCUAGAUGAGACACCCUACCAGUCAAGGCCAGGCCCUUUUACCCAUUUUAGAGAUGAUGAAAUGAAGACAUCUGCCUAACUUGGUUCAUAAAUGAGAAGUUCUGCUUCCAUUUCUUCCUGCUUUCUCCAAAAAGAGGGGUCAUACAGUGGUCUCUUCACAUAUUCCAUUGUCUACGUGGAGAAAACGGUAAGAAGGGGGAAAUGUGGACAUGAUAAACAAGAAUUCCAGCUCUAACAUGGGGAAUGGAAUAGCCUUAGGUGACAACAAGAAACAGGUUUACUCAUCAUCUUUACCACCAGCAACAGGGAAUGCAGAAAAUUUCUGAGAUUUUAUUAUCUUUCCUAUAAAGCUUUUCUGAGAAUUGCUGCCUUCCAUGAAGCCACUGAAGGAAUGAAAGUAGGAGCCAGGGACUACAGGGAGGUCCAAUCCCACCAUGACGGUGAGCACGUUCCCCAGGGAGCCUCAGAUUUAAUCCCUGCUUUAAUUCUGCGGCGGUUCCAGGGACACAUCAGCUGGGAUAUUUAAGACUUCCUCCAGUUUUCUUCCUGUGUGCUAUUCCUUAGGGAUUGCCUGAAUGUAGUCUAAAGCCAUGCAACUUCUGCUGUGUAACCUAAGGAACAGAUCUGAAGUGCUUCCGAUGACCAGUAAACGUUUUUUCCUUUACACCUACCCGCCCGUUAUAUCCUCCAUGGGGCUGUUUUAUUUGAUCUCAGCUUUUCCAGCUGUGCAAAUUUUUCUGCAUUAUGUUCCUAUUCCUCCUCGCUCUUGAUGGGUCAGCAGCACUUUAUAAUGAUAAUCCUGGCCUGUCACUGACUUUUCAAAGUGCUACAGUCAGCAGGUUACUCCAGCAGAAACCUCCUCUCCUCCCCGCUGAGCAGAACUGCCCCAAAGCUUGAUCCAGCCUUUGAAUAUCAAAGACAUGAGGAUCCUACGGCUGGACUCUAGCCCAAGUCCCUUCAAUAACAGCACAGCAUGAGCCCAGAUGAGCUGUCAAGCUGGCUGAUGAUACUGUUUUAAAUUCAUGAUAAUAUAUUUUUCUAAUUUAAUCUCUGAAAUGAAAGUGCACAUUUCAGCUCAUCAUUUCCAACUUAUCUUCUGUUUCCUUUCAGCUUUUCAGUGUUUCUGAAAUGCCUUAUGCUACAGGCAAAACACACUGAUUAUGAUGGGGCUUUUCUUUUAGCAGCUGCCACUGAGCAGUGUCACACAUGGAGAAAAUGGAAAGUCGUCUCUGCCCAGUUGUGUCAAGCAUUUAAAAAGAAGAAAGUAAAAAGAACGCAUGGGAAGAAACAGGUGGCAACUGUUGCUGUUGAAUCCUCCUUCAAGGAAGAGUACGGGAGGGAUUUUUUUAAGAAUUUAAACACAGUGACUCUCCACAAGGUAUAUGGUGGCUGCACAGGACCAGUGCCCUUUGUGAGGACGCUCCUAUCUCCACGUGAAAGCGAGAGAGACAGGAAUCUCACUCCAGAAGGUCUCAGCACAGGAGGAAACAGCAGAGAUAAAAAUGAAGUGGAAGAACACAGAACCUCAAGCUAUUAAGUGAGCGGGAGAUUGACAGCCAGUCGUGCGUGCAUCACACCACCAGCCUGCUCUUCAAGUCUCAGCCGUAAGGAUGAGUUCAUGUUCGUAAGACAGAAGAGCUGGAUAGAAGAGAGAAAGAACAUGCCAAAAAUCCACAUUGAAAAAAUCAGUCAUAAGGCAUUUUGCAAAAGUGCUGCUUUGAUGAAAGCUACUGCAGUUCAGUAUUUCCACCAGGAGUGUGCGUGCGGGAGUGGAGGAGAGAAGGGGACAGGUGCCACUUUUCGGUGGCAACCAGCAGUAUAUUGGCUCAGCUGUUUCAUCAGCUCUAUCCAAAAUAUGCAAAGAGGCAAGGUUAAAUCACCGCGUGUCCUUUCUCAAUGGCACUCCCUUUCUAACUCAGAUACUUGGUCCUUGUCACUGCAGUACCGCAGGUGUUGCCUUCUUGGUCCAUAUGCCUGAAACCGAACCACCCAAGACAACAGCCAGCGGUAAAAUGCCGUUCAUGACUAACUUCCCACAGUGGUCAGCUCAAGAGAUACAAAGAUGCCUGCAAUCCACAAGACACACGGAAGCACAAUUUCUGUGACACGAAAAAAAAGUGGAAGAUGAUUUAUCACGAUCUAAUUGGCAUUUGAAAGAGCUCAUCACCACCUUUUGAAGAGGAAGUCCCCAGGGAAACGUAGGAAAAGUGUACUCCUGAGGUCAGCCUGACAUUUGUCAUCCCAUGUGUGGGAAAACAUUUUCCUUGAAAAGAAGACGUUGGAGUCAUGAGGACUUGGAAGCAGAAUGGGGAGAGCCUCUACAGUGCUGGUAGCGCUGGCAUUGCAGGAGAAUGGGGAGACCGCAACGGAGACGCAGGCUGCCUCGACCCUGCGCAGAUACAUGAGGAAGGAUGGCCUCUGCCUCCCCAAGCGCAGCCGGAGCAGGUGGAGCAGGGAAAUCAAGGCUUAGCAGCACUUCUUUACCAAAGAGAAACCCCAGCAGAGAAGCAGUAAGUGCUCUUGUUUGCACAGGCAGUGUGCAACUCUCAUCUCCAAAGUGCUGCUGCAGUGCCUUGCACACAAACUCAUCCUUUCUGUCAGUUUGUUUUACUUUAAUGAGUGCGGAAUGGGAACGCUCCCUGUUUUUUCUCUCCCUUAGAAUUUGUAUUGCACUUCAUUAGGAACAGAUUUUGUGUGUCUAUAGUACCGUCCUGGACAAAGUGGUUCUCACUGCAUACUUGUCAUUUUUUGAUUGUGUUAUUCUUUUUAUACCAUUAUCAACUUCUAGAAGUGUCUAUAAAAAUAGGUGUAGGAAAGGAAAAGUCUUCAAAGUAAAUGGACAUUGUGUUAAAUGAAUUAUGUCUUUGGUGCUAUUAUCUCUAAAUCAGCAUAGAUUAUUCAGACUAGGGGCUUUUAGAAUCAUAAGUGGUUGAGAUCAUUUCUCAGUUCAUCAUCCCAUUACCCGUAAUGAGAAAAUACUUCUAAAUAUGAAGAUUACUCUUCCAAAAGAUCCCUUGUGGCGAAUGAUUCCCCAGGCACUAACAAUAUUUAUUAACUCUUUUCUUUCUGCAUGGCAAGGACUUGAGAGAAAAAUAGAAGUCCUGAAGGAUUACCUUGAAACAUUCAGCAACUCUAAAUUUAAUAUUCCUCUCCUGGGACGCCUUUGGUUCUGCACUCCUGUAUCUAGCAGUGUUCUCUCAGUUUCCACCUCCGUGGCUGCUUUUUUACAGUAUGUAAAUUCAGCUGCCGGUGCUGAACCUGGAAUGCGAUAAAGCAUUUUAAAACUUCAUUUCAUUAUUUUUGACUGGUUUUGUUUAUGCUGGUUUUACGUUUCCAUUUCAUCAAGCCCAAGCUUUAUUGUUUCUCUAGCCAAUGAUUUCUGCUUGCAAGCUUGAUAAAAUGACAGGCCCCCCUUGCUCACCCAAAAUGGGGAAGAUCCUCAGCAUACGCAUGAUUAAGCUUCCUUGUCAUCCCUUUAUUUUUUCGUGCUGUCGCUGACUCGUUUUCUCAUUGUAUGAGUAGAAUUAUUAGCCUUAUUUAUUGGGCUGCACGUUUCUAGGAAUCUAUUUAACGCAUAGUUUCAUGAGACGGUUUUCAUGGAAUAUAAGCUUCAUAUUUCAGCUCUUGCGUAUAAGAUUCCUUUUACCCUGUGUUCCACUGAAAAAUACCUUCUUUUUCUGCAGGGCAAGGUGAGGUGUUAAUGUACCACACCUACAAACAAAUCCCAUUGGAAAGAAAGCUUCUGCUCUUGCUGAAUUUGGUACCGUGGGAUUUCUUGGGAAAAGGUUCGGUUCUGUGGUUAAAGGGGUGAGCAGGUGUCAAGGGCCUCCACGCAGUCUUCCUGCAUGUCCCUCCCUCCAUCACUUAACAUCCGCUUUUGCUAACUAUAAUCACCGAUAAUGUCCAUUUACUCAGGUAGUAUUAAUAAGAACAGCUACAAGAAGGUCAAAUUCUGGCUUAACUGUAAAUGACUGGGCAUCACAGAGGAGGUUUUGCGAGAGCUUAUGCAAUAUAAGUAGAGUCUGCCGUGCAAUGAAGAGCACUUCCAAAAUUACCAUGCUAAUGUUUAUCACAUUGGUGCAGUAUUUUCAUUUGUGUAAAGCAGUACUUAUGUGAACUGAACAUGAAAUAUCUUUCCCUUUUACAGCAGUGGAUGAAAGAAAUGCAAAUGUACGUCUUGUUCUACGCGACCUGUUAGACUUUGUGUGUAACACAUACAAAGAGCAAUUACCGCUUCCCAGCUUUGGCUAGCUUUGCUAUUGUUUUGUAACUCUUUCUUUUAAUGAAAAACUACCUCAGCUGGUCUAAUUAUUUGCUGCAAUUUGCUUGGUGGUGUUUUUUUCAGUGAGAGAUAUAUCUGUAAGGAGCACACAAUAUUUGUAAAUAAAUGUGUUGUUUCAGAGUUGUUUGAAUGACCUUAGGAGCAAAUGUCAGUCUGACUGUUGACAAACUGAUUUUUUUUGUGACGGGUUAUGUUAGAAACUUUUUUUAUAACAUCACAAAAGUGGAACGAGUCUCUUGUUCAUCAUGUCAUCAUUUACUGUAAUCAUUUACUCAUAUAAAAAUUGGGUAGCAAGAACUUUCAGAAAAGGACG
Molecule: long non-coding RNA, 6415 nt
Organism: Dromaius novaehollandiae (emu)
Lineage: Eukaryota; Metazoa; Chordata; Aves; Casuariiformes; Dromaiidae
Exons: 3
Source: RefSeq, a predicted model, not a curated record